CCCUUAGAUGUUCUGGGCCGCACGCGUGCUACACUGAGUGGAUCAGCGGGUCAGGUUGCGCGAAAGCGUUUCCUAAUCUUUAAAUCCGCUCGUGAUGGGGAUUGACGGUUGCAAUUUUCUGUCAUGAACGAGGAAUACCUUGUAAGCGCGGGUCAUCAUCCCGCGCUGAAUACGUCCCUGCCCUUUGUACACACCGCCCGUCGCUACUACCGAUUGGAUGGCUUAGUGAGACCCUCGGACCGAUAGGCUGUCGCCGCGGCAACGUGGCGACCGGCCCGUCGGGAAGAAGGUCAAACUUGACUGUCUAGAGGAAGUAAAAGUCGUAACA
RNAcentral lists this ribosomal RNA (328 nucleotides) under uncultured eukaryote. RNAcentral describes it as "partial 18S ribosomal RNA". It matches the Rfam family "Eukaryotic small subunit ribosomal RNA", at positions 1470 to 1796 of the family's 1831-position model. The record is from RNAcentral.